RNAcentral lists this transfer RNA (74 nucleotides) under Bacteroidota bacterium. RNAcentral describes it as "Bacteroidetes bacterium (hot springs metagenome) tRNA-Gln". It matches the Rfam family "tRNA". Rfam says of the family: Transfer RNA (tRNA) molecules are approximately 80 nucleotides in length. The record is from RNAcentral. Lineage: Bacteria; Pseudomonadati; Bacteroidota.
UGUCCUAUGGUGUAAUGGUAGCACAGCAGACUCUGGAUCUGUUAGUCUGGGUUCAAAUCCUAGUAGGACAACAA